RNAcentral lists this small RNA (543 nucleotides) under Pan troglodytes (chimpanzee). RNAcentral describes it as "processed transcript". The record is from RNAcentral. Lineage: Eukaryota; Metazoa; Chordata; Mammalia; Primates; Hominidae.
AAAGCGUUUCUGUCCCUGUCGCGAUGUGUGCCCGGAGUCUCUCCCGCUCCUGUCUCGAGUGCUUUCUCUAUGGAGUCUCGCUCUGUCGCCCAGGCUGGAGUGCAGUGGCGCGAUCUCGCCUCACUGCAAGCUCCGCCUCCCGGGUUCACGCCAUUCUCCUGCCUCAGCCUCCCGAGUAGCUGGGACUACAGGCGCCCGCCACCACACCCGGCUAAUUUUUUGUAUUUUUAGUAGAGACGGGGUUUCACCGUGUUAGCCAGGAUGGUCUGGAUCUCCUGACCUCGUGAUCCGCCUGCCUCGGCCUCCCAAAGUGCUGGGAUUACAGGCGUGAGCCACCGCACCCAGCCUGAGUCCCCUUUUUAACUUGGAGAGUCCCCUUUCCUGGGAUUUACCAGUCCUCCUCCAUUCCAGACAGGUGGUUCUCUGGGUCGGCUACACAGCUGUCAUCCUGGAACUUUCUUCGGUACUUUCCUGAGUUGGAUUUUAUUCUAACCCCCGUCAUUGAUUGAUUCCAAAGUUUGUUUUUUUUUUUUCUGUAGUUCA